GACGAGGGGUCCUAGCGUUGUUCGGAAUCACUGGGCGUAAAGCGUUUGUAGGCGGCUCUAUAAGUCGGGUGUGAAAUCCCACGGCUCAACCGUGGAAGUGCAUUCGAAACUGCAGAGCUUGAAUAUGGUAGAGGAGAGUAGAAUUCCUGGUGUAGUGGUGAAAUACGUAGAUAUCAGGAGGAAUACCGGUGGCGAAGGCGACUCUCUGGACCAAUAUUGACGCUGAGAAACGAAAGUGCGGGGAGCAAACAGG
Molecule: ribosomal RNA, 253 nt
Filed under: uncultured bacterium
Lineage: Bacteria
Description: partial 16S ribosomal RNA
Rfam family: Bacterial small subunit ribosomal RNA
Source: RNAcentral